Molecule: ribosomal RNA, 253 nt
Filed under: uncultured bacterium
Lineage: Bacteria
Description: partial 16S ribosomal RNA
Rfam family: Bacterial small subunit ribosomal RNA
Source: RNAcentral
UACGAAGGGGGCUAGCGUUGCUCGGAAUUACUGGGCGUAAAGGGCGCGUAGGCGGCACUGUUAGUCAGGCGUGAAAUUCCUGGGCUCAACCUGGGGACUGCGCUUGAUACGGCAGAGCUAGAGGAUGGAAGAGGCUCGCGGAAUUCCCAGUGUAGAGGUGAAAUUCGUAGAUAUUGGGAAGAACACCGGUGGCGAAGGCGGCGCUCUGGACCGAGACUGACGCUGAGGCGCGAAAGCGUGGGGAGCAAACAGG